CAAAACGCGACGUUUUAGUCUCAAACAUCGCACAAAGAUGUUACAAUCCAUGAUGUUUGUCCAAAUGUCGUACAUGAUCCAUUUCAUCAGCGACAUUUCAUAAUAUCGCCAAAUAAUUUAUGUUUUCACGACGUUUCAAUUUUUAAACGUCAUGAAAGAGUAAAGACUCAAAUUCUUAUAGUGGUUGAUUACCCAUGAUCAAGUGUAUCAAGAUAAUGGGCCGUCUGAGA
RNAcentral lists this long non-coding RNA (230 nucleotides) under Elaeis guineensis (African oil palm). Its description in RNAcentral is "long non-coding RNA (EGUI_LNC077897)". Lineage: Eukaryota; Viridiplantae; Streptophyta; Magnoliopsida; Arecales; Arecaceae. The record is from RNAcentral.